UACGUAGGGUGCAAGCGUUGUCCGGAAUUAUUGGGCGUAAAGAGCUCGUAGGCGGUCUGUCGCGUCGGAUGUGAAAACCCAGGGCUCAACCCUGGGCCUGCAUUCGAUACGGGCAGACUAGAGUUCGGUAGGGGAGACUGGAAUUCCUGGUGUAGCGGUGAAAUGCGCAGAUAUCAUGAGGAAGACCAGUGGCGAAGGCGGGUCUCUGGACAGUUCCUGACACUGAGACACGAAGGCCAGGGGAGCAAACGGG
RNAcentral lists this ribosomal RNA (253 nucleotides) under uncultured bacterium. Its description in RNAcentral is "partial 16S ribosomal RNA". It matches the Rfam family "Bacterial small subunit ribosomal RNA", at positions 524 to 776 of the family's 1533-position model. The record is from RNAcentral.